This 127-nucleotide non-coding RNA is filed under the name Variovorax paradoxus. RNAcentral's name for it is "ZTP sequence". It matches the Rfam family "ZMP/ZTP riboswitch aptamer (pfl RNA motif)". From Rfam's summary of the family: Previously known as pfl RNA. ZMP is also known as AICAR. The record is from Rfam by way of RNAcentral. Lineage: Bacteria; Pseudomonadati; Pseudomonadota; Betaproteobacteria; Burkholderiales; Comamonadaceae.
CACCCCGUACGCGACUGGCGAUAGGCGCAGCACCCCCCACGGUGCCACGCGCUGACGUGGAAUACCACUGGGAAGCGUGCCGCCUGGCAUCCAUACAGGCGUUCAGCCGUUCGCCUGGGCAGCCCUU